GAGUCCUAUAGUUGCUGUGGUCCAGAGGCCUGCCAGUUCCUGCUUUAACGCAUAUGUAGUCGUAAUUGAUGUUCUAACACGGCCUUGGAUGUUUCUGUCCUAAAUAGCUGACAUUGCAUCUUCAAGACUGUGAAGACACUGGAGCUCACCAAGAAGGAUACCCCUCAUCCAGAGACAAAGGAGGAGCCACAAUGAGAUGGUAGGAGGGGCGCAAUCACAAUAAAAUCAAAUCCCAUAAGUGUUGGGUGGGUGACUCACAGACUGGAGAACACUUAUACCACAGAAGUCCACCCACUGGAGUGAGGGUUCUGAGCCCCAUGUCAGGCUUCCCAAUCUGGGGGUCCGGCAACGGGAGGAGGAAUUCCUAGAGAAUCAGACUUUGAAGGCUAGCAGGAUUUUAUUCCAGGACUUCGACAGGAAUGGGGGAAACAGAGAAUCCCCUCUUGGAGGGCACAAACAAAGUAGUGUGUGCAUCGGAACCCAGGGGAAGGAGCAGUGACACCAUAGGAGACUGAACCAGACCUACCUGCUAGUGUUGGAGGGUCUCCUGCAGAGGUGGGGGGUGGCUGUGGCUCACUGUGGGGACAAGGACAUGGGCAGCAGAAGUUCUGGGAAGUACUCCUUGGCAUGAGCCCUCCCAGAGUUUGCCAUUAGCCCCACCAAAGAGCUGGAUAGGCUCCGGUAUUGGGUCGCCUCAGGCCAAACAACCAACAGAGAGGUAACGCAGCCCCAGGCAUCAGCAGACAAGCAAGCGGAUUAAAGUUUUACUGAGCUCUGCCCACCAGAGCAACACCCAGCUCUAUCCACCACCAGUCCCGCCUAUCAGGAAACCUGCACAAGCCUCUUAGAUAGCCUCAUCCACCAGAAGGCAGACAGGAGAAGCAAGAAGAACUACAAUCCUGCAGCCUGUGGAACGAAAACCACAUGCACAGAAAGACAGACAAGAUGAAAAGGCAGAGGGCUAUGUACCAGAUGAAGGAACAAGAUAAAACCCCAGAAAAACAACUAAAAGAAGUGGAGAUAAGCAACCUUCCAGAAACAGAAUUCAGAAUAAUGAUAGUGAAGAUGAUCCAGGACCUCGGAUAAAGAAUGGAGGCAAAGAUCGAGAAGAUGCAAGAAACGUUUAACAAAGACCUAGAAGAAUUAAAGGACAAACAAACAGAGAUGAACAAUACAAUAACUGAAAUG
Molecule: long non-coding RNA, 1188 nt
Filed under: Phocoena sinus (vaquita)
Lineage: Eukaryota; Metazoa; Chordata; Mammalia; Artiodactyla; Phocoenidae
Description: lncRNA (ENSPSNG00000006415.1)
Source: RNAcentral